GACGAACGCUGGCGGCGUGCCUAAUACAUGCAAGUAGGACGCAGUUGCGAACGGGUGAGUAACGCGUAGGUAACUACCUAUUAGAGGGGGAUAACUAUUGGAAACGAUAGCUAAUACCGCAUACUAGUAGAUGGACCUGCGUUGUGUUAGCUAGUAGGUAGGGUAAUGGCCUACCUAGGCAACGAUACAUAGCCGACCUGUGAGGGUGGUCGGCCACACUGGGACUGGAGCACCGCCCAGACUCCUACGGGAGGCAGCAGUAGGGAAUCUUCGGCAAUGGGGGGAACCCUGGCCGAGCAACGCCGGGUGGGUGAAGGAAGUUUUCGGAUCGUAAAGCUCUUUUGUUAAGGAAGCGGUACUUAACCAGAAAGGGACGGCUAACUACGUGCCAGCAGCCGCGGUAAUAC
RNAcentral lists this ribosomal RNA (407 nucleotides) under uncultured bacterium. RNAcentral's name for it is "partial 16S ribosomal RNA". It matches the Rfam family "Bacterial small subunit ribosomal RNA", at positions 28 to 526 of the family's 1533-position model. The record is from RNAcentral.